RNAcentral lists this ribosomal RNA (253 nucleotides) under uncultured bacterium. RNAcentral's name for it is "partial 16S ribosomal RNA". It matches the Rfam family "Bacterial small subunit ribosomal RNA", at positions 524 to 776 of the family's 1533-position model. The record is from RNAcentral.
UACGUAGGGGGCAAGCGUUGUCCGGAUUUAUUGGGCGUAAAGAGCGUGUAGGCGGCUAGACAGGUCCGCUGUGAAAACUCGAGGCUCAACCUCGAGACGUCGGUGGAAACCGUCUGGCUAGAGUCCGGAAGAGGAGAGUGGAAUUCCCGGUGUAGCGGUGAAAUGCGCAGAUAUCGGGAAGAACACCCGUGGCGAAGGCGGCUCUCUGGGACGGUACUGACGCUGAGACGCGAAAGCGUGGGGAGCGAACAGG